RNAcentral lists this long non-coding RNA (1827 nucleotides) under Homo sapiens (human). Its description in RNAcentral is "HSALNT0226793". The record is from RNAcentral. Lineage: Eukaryota; Metazoa; Chordata; Mammalia; Primates; Hominidae.
CUUUGGCCCAGGCUAGAGCGCAACUCCAUGUAAAUAACAACAAUAAUAAAAGAGUGGAAGCUGGGGACUCAGGAGAAGGUGGCUGGAGUGUCUGUGGCAGAAGGGAUGGAGGCUGUGAUCUGUGAUCAGCUUGGAGGCUGCAGAGCCGACCAGUGGGUGGUUGGAGUUUAGAAGAAUCAAAAGGGCUUGCGGAUAUUGGGGGGAAUUUGUUCACUCAAGAAAGGUUGGCUGAGCGCAUUGACUCACACCUGUAAUCCCAACACUUUGGGAGGCUGAGGCAGGCAGUUUGGUUGAGCCCAGGAGUUUGAGACCAGCCUGGGCAACAUGGUGAGACCUCAUCUCUACAAAAAAUGCAAAAAUUAGCCAGGUAUGGUGGUGCAUGUGUGCCUGUAGUCCCAACUACUCAGGAGGCUGAGAUGGGAGGAUUGCUUGAGCUCGUGAAGUUGAGGUUCCAGUGAGCUAUGAUUGCACCACUGCACACUAUAGCCUGGGUGACAGAGGGAGACCCUGUCUCCAAAAAAAGAAAAAAAAAAUAGAGAAAGAGUCCAAGGAGGUGCACAGGCUCUGGUCCUCAAGGUUGGGAAGGCGAGGAUGGGGACAGCAGGUGAUGGGGGCAUGGAAUCGAGUGCGUGGAAUCAAGUGCCACUUGUGUUGAGAUGCCCACUAGGUGGCCUGGUGGAGAGGGUUAGCUACCCAGGUCAGGCUCAGGGCAGUGGUUGGGGCCGACGCAGCAGAUAAAGGAGGGUGUUCAGGAGACCAGAUGUGAGCCCCAGAGCAAGAAGUGGGCCAAAAAUAGAACCUGGGCAGAGGGAACUGUUCCUACCUCAUUGGGCUGGGCAAGAAUCAAUGGAGAGUCAUGGAAAGCACUCAGCCCAGUGCCAGGCAAGGAGUGGACACCCAUGACUGUCGCCUGGUGUUCCGCUAUACUGCUGAGGAGCUGGACCCAAGAUCCAGAGAGGGCCAGCAGCUGACCCAGGGUCACACAGCUGGACGAGGGUCUGAACCCAGUUUGUUUUUGUUUUUUGAGAUGCAGUCUCGCUCUGUCACCCAGGCUGGAGUGCAGUGGCAUGAUCUUGGCUCAUAGCAACCUCUGCCUCCCAGGUUCAAGUGAUUCUCCUGCCUCAGUCUCCCAAUUAGCUGGGACUACAGGCACACCCCAUCAUGCCUGGCUAAUUUUUUUUGUAUUUUUAGUAGAGACGGGGUUUCACCAUGUUGGCCAGGCUGGUCUUGAAGUCCCGACCUCAAGUGAUCCAGCCACCUCAGCCUCCCAAAGUGCUGGGAUUACAGGUGUGAGCCACCAUGCCUGGCCUGAAUCCAGGUCUUAAUCCUCAGAGUUCAUGCCUUUUUUCCUUUCCUUUCCUUUCCUUUUUUUCUUUUCUUUCUCUCUCCUUCCUUCCUUCCUUCCUUCCUUCCUUCCUUCCCCUUCCUUCCUUCCUUCCUUUUUUUUUUUUCAGGAUCUCACUCUGUUGCUCAAGCUGUAGUGCAGUGGAUCAUAGAAUCAUAGCUUACUGCAGCCUCAAACUCUAAAAUUCCUGGGCUCAAUUGAUCCCCCUGCCUCGGCCUCCUGAGUAGCUGAGACUACAGGUGCCACCACCACAUCCAGCUAAUUUUCUUAUUUUUUGUAGAGACAGAGUCUCACUACGUUGCCCAGGCUGUUCUCCAACACUGGGCUAGUGAUCUUCCUGCCUUGGCCUCCCAAAGUGCUGGGAUUACAGGUGUGAGGUACUGUGCCCGGCACCCAGAGUUCAUGUUCUUUGCCACUGGGCAACACUGCCAGGGGGACUGGGCCCAGCUCUGACCUGUUCCAAAGUGCCCCCCUCGCCCGGC